This 74-nucleotide transfer RNA is filed under the name Myxococcales bacterium. Its description in RNAcentral is "tRNA-Ile". It matches the Rfam family "tRNA". From Rfam's summary of the family: Transfer RNA (tRNA) molecules are approximately 80 nucleotides in length. Their secondary structure includes four short double-helical elements and three loops (D, anti-codon, and T loops). Lineage: Bacteria; Pseudomonadati; Myxococcota; Myxococcia; Myxococcales. The record is from RNAcentral. RNAcentral also lists the same sequence under 1 other name.
GGGCUCAUAGCUCAAUCGGUCAGAGCACCCGGCUCAUAACCGGGCGUGUGCUGGUUCGAAUCCAGCUGAGCCUA